Molecule: ribosomal RNA, 413 nt
Filed under: uncultured bacterium
Lineage: Bacteria
Description: bacterial SSU rRNA
Rfam family: Bacterial small subunit ribosomal RNA
Source: RNAcentral
CAGACUUGACAUAUAACUGCACGUCCUGUGAAAGCAGGAUUUCUUCGAGAGUGUUAUACAGGUGCUGCAUGGCUGUCGUCAGUUCGUGCCGUGAGGUGUUUGGUUAAGUCCAGCAACGAACGCAACCCUUGUGACUAGUUGCCACCGGAGGUGAUGAGCCUUCGAGCACUCUAGUCAGACUGCCCUUGCAAGAGGGAGGAAGGUGGGGAUGACGUCAAGUCAGUAUGGCCCUUACGUCUGGGGCUGCACACGUGCUACAAUGGCCGGUACAGAAGGUUGCGAUACCGCGAGGUGGAGCUAAUCCCCAAAACCGGCCCCAGUUCGGAUUGGAGUCUGCAACUCGACUCCAUGAAGUUGGAUUCGCUAGUAACGGCGUAUCAGCUACGACGCCGUGAAUACGUUACGCGGGCACU